Molecule: ribosomal RNA, 794 nt
Filed under: uncultured bacterium
Lineage: Bacteria
Description: bacterial SSU rRNA
Rfam family: Bacterial small subunit ribosomal RNA
Source: RNAcentral
AGAGUUUGAUCAUGGCUCAGAUUGAACGCUGGCGGCAGGCUUAACACAUGCAAGUCGAGCGGGAAUAGGUAGCUUGCUACCGAUUUCUAGCGGCGGACGGGUGAGUAAUGCUUAGGAAUCUGCCUAUUAGUGGGGGACAACGUUUCGAAAGGAACGCUAAUACCGCAUACGUCCUACGGGAGAAAGCAGGGGACCUUCGGGCCUUGCGCUAAUAGAUGAGCCUAAGUCGGAUUAGCUAGUUGGUGGGGUAAAGGCCUACCAAGGCGACGAUCUGUAGCGGGUCUGAGAGGAUGAUCCGCCACACUGGGACUGAGACACGGCCCAGACUCCUACGGGAGGCAGCAGUGGGGAAUAUUGGACAAUGGGCGAAAGCCUGAUCCAGCCAUGCCGCGUGUGUGAAGAAGGCCUUUUGGUUGUAAAGCACUUUAAGCGAGGAGGAGGCUACCUAGAUUAAUACUCUAGGAUAGUGGACGUUACUCGCAGAAUAAGCACCGGCUAACUCUGUGCCAGCAGCCGCGGUAAUACAGAGGGUGCGAGCGUUAAUCGGAUUUACUGGGCGUAAGCGUGCGUAGGCGGCUGAUUAAGUCGGAUGUGAAAUCCCUGAGCUUAACUUAGGAAUUGCAUUCGAUACUGGUCAGCUAGAGUAUGGGAGAGGAUGGUAGAAUUCCAGGUGUAGCGGUGAAAUGCGUAGAGAUCUGGAGGAAUACCGAUGGCGAAGGCAGCCAUCUGGCCUAAUACUGACGCUGAGGUACGAAAGCAUGGGGAGCAAACAGGAUUAGAUACCCUGGUAGUCC